RNAcentral lists this transfer RNA (61 nucleotides) under Pedobacter antarcticus 4BY. It matches the Rfam family "tRNA", at positions 13 to 71 of the family's 71-position model. Rfam says of the family: Transfer RNA (tRNA) molecules are approximately 80 nucleotides in length. Their secondary structure includes four short double-helical elements and three loops (D, anti-codon, and T loops). Further hydrogen bonds mediate the characteristic L-shaped molecular structure. tRNAs have two regions of fundamental functional importance: the anti-codon, which is responsible for specific mRNA codon recognition, and the 3' end, to which the tRNAs corresponding amino acid is attached (by aminoacyl-tRNA synthetases). tRNAs cope with the degeneracy of the genetic code in two manners: having more than one tRNA (with a specific anti-codon) for a particular amino acid; and 'wobble' base-pairing, i.e. permitting non-standard base-pairing at the 3rd anti-codon position. The record is from Rfam by way of RNAcentral. Lineage: Bacteria; Pseudomonadati; Bacteroidota; Sphingobacteriia; Sphingobacteriales; Sphingobacteriaceae.
CAGUUGGUAGCUCGUCGGGCUCAUAACCCGAAGGUCAUCAGUUCGAGUCUGGUCCCCGCUA